This is a long non-coding RNA of Pecten maximus, 493 nucleotides long. RefSeq lists it as uncharacterized. NCBI's taxonomy places the organism in Eukaryota, Metazoa, Mollusca, Bivalvia, Pectinida, Pectinidae. The transcript has 3 exons. The record is from RefSeq and is a predicted model, not a curated record.
UACCAGGUAGUGUGGUCUACGUCCACGGCAGUAGGAUGUGCUACUCAAAACUGCGCCUCCAUUAACGUGAACGGAAAAGUUGUCAAUAACGCAACAUUGGUUGUGUGUCAGUACGGGCCAGGGGGUAAUUAUGUUGGCCAAAGUCCAUUCCAACGCAGAAGUCUGAAGAGAGGACAAAGUUCCAUGAUGUCAUUGAUCCGAGAAAUUGCUGAAAAGUUGCGAAGUGAAACAGAGGUCAGCCAAGACAUCGUCGGCUCGGAGAAAAAUCUAGGAAUAGCACGUGAGAGUGAGGAAAGUACCAUGGAGAGUGUUAGCGAACCUGCAUCAUCUCCUCAAGAUUACCGUGGUCUUGAGUUCGCUAUGGUCCUGUGAAGACAGCCGAAAUCAGACCCAAACCCGAUUGUCCACCAACUCAUAGAUAGCUCAUAACUAUUCACCGCACUGCUUCGUCACUCUAUUCAGACUUUUCUAACCAAUAAAUAUAGCAUUUUAA